AACCUGCCUUGUACUGGGGGACAACAGUUGGAAACGACUGCUAAUACCGCAUAAGCGCACAGCUUCGCAUGAAGCAGUGUGAAAAACUCCGGUGGUACAAGAUGGACCCGCGUCUGAUUAGCUGGUUGGUGAGGUAACGGCCCACCAAGGCGACGAUCAGUAGCCGGCCUGAGAGGGUGAACGGCCACAUUGGGACUGAGACACGGCCCAAACUCCUACGGGAGGCAGCAGUGGGGAAUAUUGCACAAUGGGGGAAACCCUGAUGCAGCAACGCCGCGUGAGUGAAGAAGUAUUUCGGUAUGUAAAGCUCUAUCAGCAGGAAAGAAAAUGACGGUACCUGACUAAGAAGCCCCGGCUAACUACGUGCCAGCAGCCGCGGUAAUACGUAGGGGGCAAGCGUUAUCCGGAUUUACUGGGUGUAAAGGGAGCGUAGACGGUUUUGCAAGUCUGAAGUGAAAGCCCGGGGCUUAACCCCGGGAAUGCUUUGGAAACUGU
RNAcentral lists this ribosomal RNA (495 nucleotides) under uncultured bacterium. RNAcentral's name for it is "bacterial SSU rRNA". It matches the Rfam family "Bacterial small subunit ribosomal RNA", at positions 123 to 636 of the family's 1533-position model. The record is from RNAcentral.